GAGUUACAGAUGGAGGGAAAGGGAGAAAGGUCUUUCAUCCUCUGAUUCACUCCCCAAAUACCCAGGAUCCUCUUCCAGGUCUCCCAUGUGGGUGCAGGGUCCUAAGCACUUGGGCCAUCCUCCACUGCUUUCUCAGGUCCUUAGCAGGGAGCUGGAUUGGAAGUGGAGCAGCCAGGACAUGAACUGGUGCCCAUAUGCGUUACCGGUGCUGCAGGCAAUGGCUUAACCUAGUACGCCACAGUGCCAACACCCAGGUGGUAAUUCUUAAAAAUAAGAUUUAUUUAUUUUUAAGUAAGAUUUAUUUGUUUAUUUAUUUACUUUUUAAUAAGAUUUUUUUAUCUGAUAGGCAGAGUUAUCGAAGGAAGAGAGAGAGAGAGAGAGAGAGAGAGAGAGAGAGAAUUUUAAAGCUAGGAACCAGGAGCUCUGUCUGGGUCUCCCACAUCAUGGGUGGCAGGGGCCCAGUACUUGAGCCAUCUCCUGCUGCUUUUCCAGGUGCAUUAGUAGCAGGGAACUGGAUCGGAAGCAGAGCAGCCAGGACUCAAACCAGCUCCCAUAGUGGGUUCUAUCAUUGCAGACAGUGGCUUAACCAGCUGCGCCACAGUGCUGGCCCCCAUAGGUGGUGGUUCUAACAAGUUGCUUGAGAUGGAGUGUGGACUAAUGUGAGCAUGAGAAACUAGGGGCCAGUAGUACUGGAGGCUCCCAAACUUUCAUGGGCUUUCCCUCCAGGAGCCUUUAGAUUCUCAUGUGUGCCCCCAUAAAUCCUCUGGGGCCAGGGCUUCAAGGGAAUAGACUGGGAACGCUGUAGUUGGAGAAGGGUGUAGGAGAGGCUGGAUGGACUUCCCAGACUGCUGUAGGUGGAGAGAGAUGUAAGGCGCUGAUGGUGGUGGUGGUGUGUAUGUGUGUGUGUGUGGUAAUCUACCAUGAAGAAACACGUGUGGAAGUCAAUUCCAAGACCCAGGUACCUAAAGGCUGGUUUUAUUUAUUUAGAAAAGAUUUUAAACACUAUUUAUCUCAGAGGUAUAAGGAGAAGGAUAGGGAGAGUAUGAGAACCUCCCAUCCCCUGGUGUGUUCCAUAAAGACUUGCGAUGACCAGGAAGCCGGGAGCUCCACCUGCAUUUCCUACAUGGACGGCAGGAACGCGACUCCUUGAACCAUCACUGCUGCCUCCCAGCUGUGUACUAGUGUGACGCUGGAACUGGAAGUCGAGCCCGGCUUGAACCCAGGCAUGGGAUGUGGGCGUCCCAAGCAGUGUCUUAACUGCUGGGCUGAACGCUCAGUUCCUAAAAGGUUGCGUUUUAAUCAGGAGAUUAUCAAAUGCUCUCCCUCCCUGAUACCUUACCACUACAUCAAUACUCUGCAGAGUAACAGUAGCUUGCAGCUGACAGCACAGCAGGAUUUCAGGAGAGCACACAGACAGCUAAAGUCAAGAGAGGGCGUGGAAAGAGGGACAUGACUGUCAGCUGAUGGUUGGACAGAGGAAGUGUGGGCGUACACACAGUGGACUACUGUUCAGUCCAAAAAUGAAUGAAAUCCUGUCUUUUGCAACAAAAUGAAUGAAUGCAUGUGGUGAAAUGAGCAGACUCAAAAAGACAAAUAUCACAUAUUUUCUCUGAUUUGCGGUAGCUAAUUACAGAGUACAGAAAAAAAAUCCUAAUGAGAGAAACUGACAUCUUGGGAUUUGAUUAUUGUCUAUAACCCUUGUCUAUAUUCCUGCACAAUAGUGGUGUUUCUACUGUUUGCUUGUUGAACACUUUAUUUAGUGGAGGAUCAAGACUGUGAUUAUAAAAUAAAUUAAAAAUGCAGUGCA
Oryctolagus cuniculus (rabbit) is the source of this 1807-nucleotide long non-coding RNA. NCBI's taxonomy places the organism in Eukaryota, Metazoa, Chordata, Mammalia, Lagomorpha, Leporidae. The record is from Ensembl.